CAGGGUGGUGUGAUGUCUAUGAGGAGCCAAGGGGUUAUCACCACAGGGUGGUGUGAUGUCUAUGAGGAGCCAGGGGGUUAUCACCACAGGGUGGUGUGAUGUCUAUGAGGAGCCAGGGGGUUAUCACCACAGGGUGGUGUGAUGUCUAUGAGGAGCCAGGGGGUUAUCACCACAGGGUGGUGUGAUGUCUAUGAGGAGCCAGGGGGUUAUCACCACAGGGUGGUGUGAUGUCUAUGAGGAGCCAGGGGGUUAUCACCACAGGGUGGUGUGAUGUCUAUGAGGGGCAGGGGGUUAUCACCACAGGGUGGUGUGAUGUCUAUGAGGAGCCAGGGGGUUAUCACCACAGGGUGGUGUGAUGUCUAUGAGGAGCCAGGGGGUUAUCACCACAGGGUGGUGUGAUGUCUAUGAGGAGCCAGGGGGUUAUCACCACAGGGUGGUGUGAUGUCUAUGAGGGGCAGGGGGUUAUCACCACAGGGUGGUGUGAUGUCUAUGAGGAGCCAGG
Molecule: long non-coding RNA, 502 nt
Organism: Oncorhynchus keta (chum salmon)
Lineage: Eukaryota; Metazoa; Chordata; Actinopteri; Salmoniformes; Salmonidae
Exons: 3
Source: RefSeq, a predicted model, not a curated record